This 104-nucleotide microRNA precursor is filed under the name Marmota monax (woodchuck). The record is from RNAcentral. Lineage: Eukaryota; Metazoa; Chordata; Mammalia; Rodentia; Sciuridae.
AAUGGAAUUGCUGGAUCAUCUGGUAAGUCUUAUGUUUAACUCUUUGAAAAACUGCCAGACUGUUUUCCAAAGUGGCUGCACCAUUUUCCGUUCCCACCAGCAGU